Molecule: ribosomal RNA, 400 nt
Filed under: uncultured bacterium
Lineage: Bacteria
Description: bacterial SSU rRNA
Rfam family: Bacterial small subunit ribosomal RNA
Source: RNAcentral
UGGGGAAUAUUGCACAAUGGGCGAAAGCCUGAUGCAGCAACGCCGCGUGAGGGAUGACGGCCUUCGGGUUGUAAACCUCUUUUAGUAGGGAAGAAGCGUAAGUGACGGUACCUGCAGAAAAAGCACCGGCUAACUACGUGCCAGCAGCCGCGGUAAUACGUAGGGUGCAAGCGUUGUCCGGAAUUAUUGGGCGUAAAGAGCUCGUAGGCGGCUUGUCGCGUCUGCUGUGAAAACCCGGAGCUCAACUCCGGGCCUGCAGUGGGUACGGGCAGGCUAGAGUGCGGUAGGGGAGAUUGGAAUUCCUGGUGUAGCGGUGGAAUGCGCAGAUAUCAGGAGGAACACCGAUGGCGAAGGCAGAUCUCUGGGCCGCUACUGACGCUGAGGAGCGAAAGCAUGGGGA